This 466-nucleotide ribosomal RNA is filed under the name uncultured bacterium. Its description in RNAcentral is "partial 16S ribosomal RNA". It matches the Rfam family "Bacterial small subunit ribosomal RNA", at positions 28 to 507 of the family's 1533-position model. The record is from RNAcentral.
GACGAACGCUGGCGGCGUGCUUAACACAUGCAAGUCGAACGGAAAGGCCCUGCUUGCAGGGUACUCGAGUGGCGAACGGGUGAGUAACACGUGGGUGAUCUGCCCUGCACUUCGGGAUAAGCUUGGGAAACUGGGUCUAAUACCGGAUAGGAGCCAUCUUUAGUGUGGUGGUUGGAAAGUUUUUUCGGUGUAGGAUGAGCUCGCGGCCUAUCAGCUUGUUGGUGGGGUAAUGGCCUACCAAGGCGGCGACGGGUAGCCGGCCUGAGAGGGUGUACGGCCACAUUGGGACUGAGAUACGGCCCAGACUCCUACGGGAGGCAGCAGUGGGGAAUAUUGCACAAUGGGCGCAAGCCUGAUGCAGCGACGCCGCGUGGGGGAUGAAGGCCUUCGGGUUGUAAACUCCUGUCGCUAGGGACGAAGCUUUUUUGUGACGAUACCUAGAGAAGAAGCACCGGCUAACUACGUG